GACAGCAACAUGGAGCCCGAGGAGACGCUACUGCGCAUGUCCGCGUCUGCACGGCCAGAAACAGACAGAGAGCUGAACUGAGGAAAAACUGGCAGAGACAAAGGACUGAGACACAUUUAGAGAAACAGGAGACACUACAUUUAGUUUUUGUACCGGUUUAUAAUAGCCAAGGGGUUACGGGACCACCAGGGAGCGGACAGGUUUUUUUUACUCCAGCAAGCAUCAAAUCCUUGUUGAAUCCAGUUGAACGGACCCCUCCCGAUCAAUGGAAAUACCUACAAAUCUCUAGUCUUGUAUGGAAACAGCUGCCAGCAGGAGAUGGAGGAAGUGGAAACACACACCGCUUUCCUGGAGUAAUCUUUUUUUGGGCGUUUCGGGAGCAUCUUUGUUUGCAGACAGUCCCAUCAUCUUGAGUUCCUGUUGACCUUUUCCCCACGUCUACCCUUUAGAGAGCAGGUGUUAAACUCCCCCCUCCCCCCGGUCCUCUCUGCCUGGGAGGUUGCUCCGGUAAUGGUUGCCAUGAUGCUGAUGUAGCGCCGGGAAGCUGGUCGUUAACCAAAUUUCAUUAAAAGUCUGCUCAGAAUUUGGCUUUCUCCCAUGCUGAUGUAGCGUCGUGAAGCUGGUAGUUGUGGAGCUGGAGGAGAAGGAGGUGUUGGAGGUGGAG
Long non-coding RNA from Eleginops maclovinus (Patagonian blennie), 664 nucleotides. RefSeq lists it as uncharacterized. The transcript has 3 exons. NCBI's taxonomy places the organism in Eukaryota, Metazoa, Chordata, Actinopteri, Perciformes, Eleginopidae. The record is from RefSeq and is a predicted model, not a curated record.